UUAAGCGACUAAGCGUACACGGUGGAUGCCCUGGCAGUCAGAGGCGAUGAAGGACGUGCUAAUCUGCGAUAAGCGUCGGUAAGGUGAUAUGAACCGUUAUAACCGGCGAUUUCCGAAUGGGGAAACCCAGUGUGAUUCGUCACACUAUCAUUACGUGAAUACAUAGCGUAAUGAAGCGAACCGGGGGAACUGAAACAUCUAAGUACCCCGAGGAAAAGAAAUCAACCGAGAUUCCCCCAGUAGCGGCGAGCGAACGGGGAGCAGCCCAGAGUCUGAAUCAGCUUGUGUGUUAGUGGAACGGUCUGGAAAGUCCGACGGUACAGGGUGAUAGUCCCGUACACCAAAAUGCACAGGUUGUGAACUCGAAGAGUAGGGCGGGACACGUGGUAUCCUGUCUGAAUAUGGGGGGACCAUCCUCCAAGGCUAAAUACUCCUGACUGACCGAUAGUGAACCAGUACCGUGAGGGAAAGGCGAAAAGAACCCCGGCGAGGGGAGUGAAAAAGAACCUGAAACCGUGUACGUACAAGCAGUGGGAGCCUCUUUAUGGGGUGACUGCGUACCUUUUGUAUAAUGGGUCAGCGACUUAUAUUCUGUAGCAAGGUUAACCGUAUAGGGGAGCCGAAGGGAAACCGAGUCUUAACUGGGCGUUAAGUUGCAGGGUAUAGACCCGAAACCCGGUGAUCUAGCCAUGGGCAGGUUGAAGGUUGGGUAACACUAACUGGAGGACCGAACCGACUAAUGUUGAAAAAUUAGCGGAUGACUUGUGGCUGGGGGUGAAAGGCCAAUCAAACCGGGAGAUAGCUGGUUCUCCCCGAAAGCUAUUUAGGUAGCGCCUCGUGAACUCAUCUUCGGGGGUAGAGCACUGUUUCGGCUAGGGGGUCAUCCCGACUUACCAACCCGAUGCAAACUGCGAAUACCGAAGAAUGUUAUCACGGGAGACACACGGCGGGUGCUAACGUCCGUCGUGAAGAGGGAAACAACCCAGACCGCCAGCUAAGGUCCCAAAGUCAUGGUUAAGUGGGAAACGAUGUGGGAAGGCACAGACAGCCAGGAUGUUGGCUUAGAAGCAGCCAUCAUUUAAAGAAAGCGUAAUAGCUCACUGGUCGAGUCGGCCUGCGCGGAAGAUGUAACGGGGCUAAACCAUGCACCGAAGCUGCGGCAGCGACACUAUGUGUUGUUGGGUAGGGGAGCGUUCUGUAAGCCGUUGAAGGUGUACUGUGAGGUAUGCUGGAGGUAUCAGAAGUGCGAAUGCUGACAUAAGUAACGAUAAUGCGGGUGAAAAACCCGCACGCCGGAAGACCAAGGGUUCCUGUCCAACGUUAAUCGGGGCAGGGUGAGUCGACCCCUAAGGCGAGGCCGAAAGGCGUAGUCGAUGGGAAACAGGUUAAUAUUCCUGUACUUGGUGUUACUGCGAAGGGGGGACGGAGAAGGCUAUGUUAGCCGGGCGACGGUUGUCCCGGUUUAAGCAUGUAGGCGGAGGUUCCAGGUAAAUCCGGUACCUUUUAACGCUGAGGUGUGAUGACGAGGCACUACGGUGCUGAAGUAACAAAUGCCCUGCUUCCAGGAAAAGCCUCUAAGCAUCAGGUAACACGAAAUCGUACCCCAAACCGACACAGGUGGUCAGGUAGAGAAUACCAAGGCGCUUGAGAGAACUCGGGUGAAGGAACUAGGCAAAAUGGUGCCGUAACUUCGGGAGAAGGCACGCUGAUAUGUAGGUGAAGUGAUUUACUCAUGGAGCUGAAAUCAGUCGAAGAUACCAGCUGGCUGCAACUGUUUAUUAAAAACACAGCACUGUGCAAACACGAAAGUGGACGUAUACGGUGUGACGCCUGCCCGGUGCCGGAAGGUUAAUUGAUGGGGUUAUCCGUAAGGAGAAGCUCUUGAUCGAAGCCCCGGUAAACGGCGGCCGUAACUAUAACGGUCCUAAGGUAGCGAAAUUCCUUGUCGGGUAAGUUCCGACCUGCACGAAUGGCGUAAUGAUGGCCAGGCUGUCUCCACCCGAGACUCAGUGAAAUUGAACUCGCUGUGAAGAUGCAGUGUACCCGCGGCAAGACGGAAAGACCCCGUGAACCUUUACUAUAGCUUGACACUGAACACUGGUCCUUGAUGUGUAGGAUAGGUGGGAGGCUUUGAAGUGUGGACGCCAGUCUGCAUGGAGCCAUCCUUGAAAUACCACCCUUUAAUGGCUGGUGUUCUAACGUGGACCCGUAAUCCGGGUUGCGGACAGUGUCUGGUGGGUAGUUUGACUGGGGCGGUCUCCUCCUAAAGAGUAACGGAGGAGCACGAAGGUUAGCUAAUCCUGGUCGGACAUCAGGAGGUUAGUGCAAAGGCAUAAGCUAGCUUGACUGCGAGAGUGACGGCUCGAGCAGGUGCGAAAGCAGGUCUUAGUGAUCCGGUGGUUCUGAAUGGAAGGGCCAUCGCUCAACGGAUAAAAGGUACUCCGGGGAUAACAGGCUGAUACCGCCCAAGAGUUCAUAUCGACGGCGGUGUUUGGCACCUCGAUGUCGGCUCAUCACAUCCUGGGGCUGAAGUAGGUCCCAAGGGUAUGGCUGUUCGCCAUUUAAAGUGGUACGCGAGCUGGGUUUAGAACGUCGUGAGACAGUUCGGUCCCUAUCUGCCGUGGGCGCUGGAGAAUUGAGGGGGGCUGCUCCUAGUACGAGAGGACCGGAGUGGACGCAUCACUGGUGUUCGGGUUGUCAUGCCAAUGGCAUUGCCCGGUAGCUAAAUGCGGAAGAGAUAAGUGCUGAAAGCAUCUAAGCACGAAACUUGCCCCGAGAUGAGUUCUCCCUGAGACUUAAAGUCUCCUGAAGGAACGUUAAAGACGAUGACGUUGAUAGGUCGGGUGUGUAAGUGUAGCGAUACAUUGAGCUAACCGAUACUAAUGAACCGUGAGGCUUAACCU
This 2903-nucleotide ribosomal RNA is filed under the name Citrobacter freundii. RNAcentral describes it as "23S ribosomal RNA". It matches the Rfam family "Bacterial large subunit ribosomal RNA". The record is from RNAcentral. Lineage: Bacteria; Pseudomonadati; Pseudomonadota; Gammaproteobacteria; Enterobacterales; Enterobacteriaceae.